UACCCUACGGGACGCAGCAGUGGGGAAUAUUGCACAAUGGGGGAAACCCUGAUGAAGCGACGCCGCGUGAGUGAAGAAGUAUUUCGGUAUGUAAAGCUCUCUCAGCAGGGAAGAUAAUGACGGUACCUGACUAAGAAGCCCCGGCUAACUACGUGCCAGCAGCCGCGGUAAUACGUAGGGGGCAAGCGUUAUCCGGAUUUACUGGGUGUAAAGGGUGCGUAGGUGGCAGGGCAAGUCAGAUGUGAAAGCCCGGGGCUCAACCCCGGUACUGCAUUUGACGCUGUCCAGCUGGAGGGCAGGAGAGG
Molecule: ribosomal RNA, 305 nt
Filed under: uncultured bacterium
Lineage: Bacteria
Description: bacterial SSU rRNA
Rfam family: Bacterial small subunit ribosomal RNA
Source: RNAcentral